This 346-nucleotide transfer-messenger RNA is filed under the name Spirochaetes bacterium ADurb.Bin215. RNAcentral's name for it is "transfer-messenger RNA, SsrA". It matches the Rfam family "transfer-messenger RNA". From Rfam's summary of the family: Bacterial tmRNA, also known as 10Sa RNA or SsrA, is named for its dual tRNA and mRNA-like properties. Its role is to liberate the mRNA from a stalled ribosome. To accomplish this part of the tmRNA is used as a reading frame that ends in a translation stop signal. The record is from RNAcentral. Lineage: Bacteria; Pseudomonadati; Spirochaetota.
GGGGGCGAAAAGGCUUCGACGGGAGUAGUUGGGCUCUGGUCGCGCGCCGAGGUGCACUGCCUCGUAAAACAGGUGCAAAACCACGAUAACUGACAACUACAGUUACGCAAUGGCUGCCUAAGAGGUAGCCCGUCCCCCUGCACAAUGCUCGCGCAGUGCAGCAAGGGGCGUCGAACGCGCGGGCUAGUUGGUGGGGUGGCCCGUUCCCGCCAACGAGAUUCAGGGCUGGCCUGCCGAUAUGCUGAGUCUGUCCGGGAAUCGGCGGGCGAGACGUGAUGACAGACUACGCGCGUAGUGAUCGGGGUUUUGCUGCUUUCGGACGUGGGUUCGACUCCCACCGCCUCCA